AUUCGAUGCGAUCACAUCUAAUUACAAUGAGAAUCAGUAAAAGUCCACUUACUUUGGUGUUUGCAUUACUUAUCAGUGUAGGCGAAAUCCAAGGGAUUCCCGAGAGCAAGUCGAAUCUACUGCCUUCAGAUUGUGGAUCCAGUGUAACCGCCGACGGUGGAGGGUAUGCUGGAACUGAAGUGGCCAAGUAUCCCUGGAUGGCCAUCCUACGGUAUAACACCAGCAGAGGCAGCGUGGACGCUUGCAUUGGCACACUAAUCAACACACGCUACGUACUGACGGCUGGCCAUUGCUUGAAUUAUCCACGACGUCAACCUCUCACUGUCAUUCUUGGCGAGUACGACCAAUCACGGAAUCCUGACUGUUACUAUAAACACGAUUCAACGGGGAAAAACUCGAUCCAACCAGUUUGGAGACCGAGGAAUUCGGUGUUGAUUCAGUUAUGGUUCAUCCAGAUUUCGACCGACGAAGGUAUCAGAAUGACAUUGGACUGAUUCGGCUAGAUCGAGAUGUCACGGUGAAAAAUCACAUCCGAGCGAUAUGUUUGCCCUUAACCACCGCAUUGCAUGGAGAAAACGCUGAAAGCUACGUCGUGACAACUUGGAAGAUGGACGUCGGUGCACCUCCAACGAGCUCGAACACCUUGCUAGAAGUGACUGUUUCUCGUAUCAAUAGCACGGAUUGUGAGCAGAAACUUGCCAGAAUAAGCAACAGGAUGAAACUGAGUGAGAGGCAGAUAUGCACAGAGGGAUCAGAUCAAAUUUGCCGUGGAAGCGCCGGAGCACCUUUGGGAAACAGUGUCUCGCAUAAUAAUGGAGAACGCUUCGUACAAUACGGAAUAGUCUCAAUCGGUUCAGCCCGGUGUGAACUUAGCGAUGUACCUGAAGUGUACACUCGGGUGGCUAGCUAUAUGGAGUGGAUUCUAAGCACGAUUGUACCCUAGUUUUCUAUAAGCUGUGUUAUAACAAAAAAAAAUUGGAGGUAUUAAAAAUGAUCUUAAUCUUGAAUUGCCCAAAAAAAUAUAAUGUACAGAACAUAGUACCGAACUCGGUUGAUUUUCAACCGAGUUUUUAUCUGCUGAACGUUCGGUAGUUCACUCGGUUCAAGAAAAAGCAACCGAGUCUUCGGUAUACCUUUUCGAAGCAUCGAUCUGUCAAACCUACCGAAAAAAGUCGGUUGACAAGAACGAACAACCGAAUUUCGGUUAGUUUCUAUGAUCUAUCCAUUCUACCGAACUCUGUCAAAUAAACUGGAAAUCGGUUCUUUUUAACAGAGCUUAAUAAAAACCAAAAUUUUCUUUCGUCUAGAAAAAAGCCUAGCCAAGUUUUUAGCAAAAUACAUUUUAUUACUUAUUUAAUUGUUCUUUUAUUACGCACACUUCUUAUCCGGGGUAUUUUAAAGCAAGCUUUCGCAGCUUCCUGGCUUUUCACUUGCUUUUCUGGAAGCAGUACACCACAAUCUUCACGAUAUGUGACAUGUUCUUGCUAACUGCACCAUGAAAGGUUCCUGAAGGAAGAGUCAACCUUCAAUGAAGUUUCCCGUACGUAUCCUCGGGCUAAAACACAGAUAAGCAUUAAUGUUCUGUUGGAUUAUUGAAAAAAAAAAAUACUUACCAGGUAUUAAUCAACUUUUGUUGCCUCUGAAAGGCCUCUUUCCAAUUUUCACAAAGCAAAAACAUCUUAUUUUCUUUUGAUAACUAACCCAGGAACUAAUCAAGUCAAGAACAAACAUGGCUGAAAUCAAAUUCAUGUGAAAACGGAUUGUUCGGUUUCUUUAUCCGGUGUGAGAUUCACCCCGAUGACGUUUCCAAGUUUUACCGAGUUUUUUUUUUGGUUUUCGCUAACCGAACUCGUUCAUACAACGAUGCUACCGUACUUUUCGGUUCAGCCAGCAUCAAAAUAAUCAAUGUUGUCAAACGGGAGCCGAAAAUUCGGUUAAAUUCCAAAAUAUUGUUGUAAACAACAGGUUUUUAAACGAAUCAUUCGAUUUUUUGUUGGAAACCGACUAGAUUCGUUUUAAAUGUGAACCCGAGUUCGGUACUAUAUUUUAAGUGUGUAGAGAACAUUAUUUUAUCAGAACUCUUGGUAAUUUCGGUAUGCGAAAAAAAGAACAUCGCCCUGCUUUAAACCGUCUAAGGUUACGAACGAUGACGAAAUUUC
Aedes albopictus (Asian tiger mosquito) is the source of this 2159-nucleotide long non-coding RNA. RefSeq lists it as uncharacterized. Lineage: Eukaryota; Metazoa; Arthropoda; Insecta; Diptera; Culicidae. The record is from RefSeq and is a predicted model, not a curated record. The transcript has 3 exons.